UUGGCCCCUAAUCGGGGUUGCGGACAGUGUCUGGUGGGUAGUUUGACUGGGGCGGUCUCCUCCUAAAGAGUAACGGAGGAGCACGAAGGUUGGCUAAUCCUGGUCGGACAUCAGGAGGUUAGUGCAAUGGCAUAAGCCAGCUUGACUGCGAGCGUGACGGCGCGAGCAGGUGCGAAAGCAGGUCAUAGUGAUCCGGUGGUUCUGAAUGGAAGGGCCAUCGCUCAACGGAUAAAAGGUACUCCGGGGAUAACAGGCUGAUACCGCCCAAGAGUUCAUAUCGACGGCGGUGUUUGGCACCUCGAUGUCGGCUCAUCACAUCCUGGGGCUGAAGUAGGUCCCAAGGGUAUGGCUGUUCGCCAUUUAAAGUGGUACGCGAGCUGGGUUUAGAACGUCGUGAGACAGUUCGGUCCCUAUCUGCCGUGGGCGCUGGAGAACUGAGGGGGGCUGCUCCUAGUACGAGAGGACCGGAGUGGACGCAUCACUGGUGUUCGGGUUGUCAUGCCAAUGGCACUGCCCGGUAGCUAAAUGCGGAAGAGAUAAGUGCUGAAAGCAUCUAAGCACGAAACUUGCCCCGAGAUGAGUUCUCCCUGACUCCCUGAGAGUCCUGAAGGAACGUUG
This 618-nucleotide ribosomal RNA is filed under the name Escherichia coli. RNAcentral's name for it is "partial 23S ribosomal RNA". It matches the Rfam family "Bacterial large subunit ribosomal RNA", at positions 2228 to 2840 of the family's 2925-position model. Lineage: Bacteria; Pseudomonadati; Pseudomonadota; Gammaproteobacteria; Enterobacterales; Enterobacteriaceae. The record is from RNAcentral.